Non-coding RNA from Cinara cedri, 606 nucleotides. NCBI's taxonomy places the organism in Eukaryota, Metazoa, Arthropoda, Insecta, Hemiptera, Aphididae. The record is from the annotation of a GenBank genome assembly.
AUGUUUUACUCAACUUUAGUUGUUAUUUAAUAUAGACAUAUUUCAAGUAAGUUCCUACCUCUAUUUAUUUAGUUUUAUUUUUUGUAUACAAAUAAUUAUAAUUAAAGGAUUAUUAAUAGUCCAUUAUACAUUUUUUAUUUUCUGGAAUGAUCAAUAAUAUUUUUAAAUGGUGUCAUUUCUUAAAGCAUUUAUUAUUUAAUAAUAUAUUGGCAUUUAAACAUUUCCUAAUGUGUUUUAUUUGUUCCUAAUUAAAACUACUAAGGUACCAAAGAAAAUUAACAUAAAUCCAUGAAUCCUUUUAGUGUUCAUUAGGUGUCCUAACAGAUUGAGUUCCUAGGUUUUGUUCUGACAGGUAAACAAUUAUGUCCAGAAAUCGAGAAAAUCAACUAGUGAUUGUACAGAUUUCCAUUAGGUAACAAACAUAUUAUGUUUACUGUAAAAACAAUGCAUUACUCGCUCCACUCAGAAUCUAAAAUAUAAUAGGUACUAAUUUACAAUAAUAAAUUUUAGGGUUUGAACAUAACACAAUCACAAUACAACAUAACACUCUUAAUAAUUUGUUGGUGACCUCUGAUUGAGAAACACUGUUUUACACCAUAAUUUCUU